Molecule: long non-coding RNA, 1992 nt
Organism: Monopterus albus (swamp eel)
Lineage: Eukaryota; Metazoa; Chordata; Actinopteri; Synbranchiformes; Synbranchidae
Exons: 3
Source: RefSeq, a predicted model, not a curated record
ACUGUUACUACUGCAGUAUCAUUGCUAGCCUCAGCCCUGCUCUCAUGCACUCAUUUGCUCAGCGCCGACGACAAGCAGCAACACGAUUGGUCAGAAGAAGUAGUGGCUGUAACGUCAUGCCACUGUGGCUUGUGGUGCUACAGUAAUCUGGAGGGGUUCUGAGUAUCGGCAGUUUUCAACAUUAUGUUAGAACAUUACAGAGCAGGAGGGGCAGGUGAGACAGCAGAGAUGAAAAGGAUAGGAAGCAGUGACUGGCUGGAGGCACCAACAUCUGUAACUGCUGGUAUCACUGGCACCAGCUGAUUAGGUCACACAUAUCCUGCAUGCUGUAAAAAGACAUCAUGGACUAUAAAUCAGGAUGUCUAUUCACAGGCUUAACUGAGCAUCGAUUAUUAAUGUCCUUUUCUGCUGCAGCUGCACUUGGGCCUGUUUUACAAGGAGCAGUACUGUACUGUAGCUGCAGAAGUACGGAAUAACAAGAGGAAGACAAGGGUGUUAGGAGUGGUAAGAGAAAGAAUACCUCCUAAAUGGAAAGAGACAGCUGAGCUGGAUGUGGCAAAUGAAUACAGAGGCUCCCGGAGGCGGCUGUCAGUCAGACCAAACAGACUCUCACACCAAAUCAUUACUGAAACGCUGAAGCCUGCUCCUCAGGAUUGAACUGCACAUUCAUUAAUGGAAUAAGCAUAUAGUUAAUGUUUAAAAACUAAUCUUGCAACUGAAGGCAUCUUGUUUAAUACAAUGUAAAGUUGCCCCAGGGACCUCUCACUUUGCCCUUUUGUAGUAGAAGUACAAGGAAAACAUUUGAGUUACUGAAGGUUUGAAAGACAUUGCUCACCUCUUUGUAGAAAGAAACUGCAUCAAUCACAUAUGAUCUAAAUUCAGAUUUAUAAAUAUGGUGGUUUGAGAAUCUUUACCAGAGCUACAUAAGCUAAUAUGGAUGAUUUACCCCCUCACUGUUAUUGUUUCAGGUUGAUUUUCUUACUAAAGUCUCUUUGAGCAUUGUUCAGUCACAAUGCAUCCACCACAGUUCACAUGAACAAAGAUCAGAAUUGAUAAAAAUGUUGUUCAUCUGCAUCGUGUGCUCACAGCAAUGAGGUUAAUGAACAGGUGCACGAUGCACUUUGCAAAACCCUCCUCCUAUGUACAGUGUAUACAGGCACCCUACCUUUUUUGAUAAAAACAGUCAAAACUGUGUGAAGCCAGAAAAAAGCUCAGGGACACUAGUACAGAGGGUUACAUAGCAUUUUGAUUUAUUUAGUUAUAUUGCCAAUAUUAAAGCAUAAUAACCAAUUUGAUCAUAAUCUAGAUGGAUUUAAAUGCAAGAAACAUGACGCUUUUGAUAUCUUUGAUGGAUGGUGCUCCUUACGCCCUCCUCUUCUAAUGUCCACAAUAACAAGCCUCAUCACCAUGGAUGUAUUAUUAACUGGCUAUAACAUGGCUGAAAAGACCUUGUUAAUGACUCUAUUAAAACCUAAUGCUGCAAAUGGAAAAUGAACUAAAUUUAUACAUCAGAUUUACUGUGUGUUACAUCCACCCACGUACACGCACACACAUACACAUAUAAACACCCACAUUAAUACAUCAGUGAAGCUGCCUUGCAGACUGAGGGUACAACAGGUGACUAAAGGUGGACUAAGUACAAAAAAAUGGGGUGACCGUUCAUUUGCCGUAUAUGGCCCCAGGCUCUGGAACUCCUUACCGCCGGAGUUACGGUCCAUAACUGAGUUAUGUUUUUUUAAGUCCAGACAAAAAACGUAUCUUUUUAGACAGGCUUUUUGUGCUUAAUCUGUUCCAAUGGCAUCAUGUUGAUGUCUUUUAGCUUGUUGUUUAAUACUUAUAUUUGAUAUGGAAGCCUUUCAUUAGCCUUCGAUUUAUAUCUUGUGUUUUUAUUUUUCUUGUUCUUGGUCUUAUUGCUAUGUUGUUAGUUAUUUCUUUUCUAUUUGUUGUUUUGUGAAGCGCACUGGGCUCCUACAGAGUUGUAAAGCGCUAUAC